RNAcentral lists this ribosomal RNA (455 nucleotides) under uncultured bacterium. RNAcentral describes it as "bacterial SSU rRNA". It matches the Rfam family "Bacterial small subunit ribosomal RNA", at positions 29 to 527 of the family's 1533-position model. The record is from RNAcentral.
AACGAACGCUGGCGGCAGGCCUAACACAUGCAAGUCGAGCGCACCCUUCGGGGCGAGCGGCGGACGGGUUAGUAACGCGUGGGAACGUACCCUUUUCUAUGGAAUAGCCUCGGGAAACUGAGAGUAAUACCAUAUAAGCCCUUCGGGGGAAAGAUUUAUCGGGAAAGGAUCGGCCCGCGUUAGAUUAGAUAGUUGGUGGGGUAAUGGCCUACCAAGUCUACGAUCUAUAGCUGGUUUUAGAGGAUGAUCAGCAACACUGGGACUGAGACACGGCCCAGACUCCUACGGGAGGCAGCAGUGGGGAAUCUUAGACAAUGGGCGCAAGCCUGAUCUAGCCAUGCCGCGUGUGUGACUGAAGGUCUUAGGAUCGUAAGCACUUUCGCCAGGGAUGAUAAUGACAGUACCUGGUAAAGAAACCCGGCAAACUCCGUGCCAGCAGCCGCGGUAAUGUCACA